RNAcentral lists this ribosomal RNA (497 nucleotides) under uncultured bacterium. RNAcentral describes it as "partial 16S ribosomal RNA". It matches the Rfam family "Bacterial small subunit ribosomal RNA", at positions 28 to 507 of the family's 1533-position model. The record is from RNAcentral.
GAUGAACGCUGGCGGCGUGCCUAAUACAUGCAAGUCGAGCGAACGGACGAGAAGCUUGCUUCUCUGAUGUUAGCGGCGGACGGGUGAGUAACACGUGGAUAACCUACCUAUAAGACUGGGAUAACUUCGGGAAACCGGAGCUAAUACCGGAUAAUAUUAUGAACCGCAUGGUUCAAAAGUGAAAGACGGUCUUGCUGUCACUUAUAGAUGGAUCCGCGCUGCAUUAGCUAGUUGGUAAGGUAACGGCUUACCAAGGCAACGAUGCAUAGCCGACCUGUGAGGGUGAUCGGCCACACUGGAACUGAGACACGGUCCAGACUCCUACGGGAGGCAGCAGUAGGGAAUCUUCCGCAAUGGGCGAAAGCCUGACGGAGCAACGCCGCGUGAGUGAUGAAGGUCUUCGGAUCGUAAAACUCUGUUAUUAGGGAAGAACAUAUGUGUAAGUAACUGUGCACAUCUUGACGGUACCUAAUCAGAAAGCCACGGCUAACUACGUG